AUUGAACGCUGGCGGCAUGCCUUACACAUGCAAGUCGAACGGUAACAGGUCUUCGGAUGCUGACGAGUGGCGAACGGGUGAGUAAUACAUCGGAACGUGCCCGAUCGUGGGGGAUAACGAGGCGAAAGCUUUGCUAAUACCGCAUACGAUCUACGGAUGAAAGCGGGGGAUCUUCGGACCUCGCGCGGACGGAGCGGCCGAUGGCAGAUUAGGUAGUUGGUGGGAUAAAAGCUUACCAAGCCGACGAUCUGUAGCUGGUCUGAGAGGAUGAUCAGCCACACUGGGACUGAGACACGGCCCAGACUCCUACGGGAGGCAGCAGUGGGGAAUUUUGGACAAUGGGCGGAAGCCUGAUCCAGCCAUGCCGCGUGCAGGAUGAAGGCCUUCGGGUUGUAAACUGCUUUUGUACGGAACGAAAAGCCUCUUUCUAAUAAAGAGGGGUCAUGACGGUACCGUAAGAAUAAGCACCGGCUAACUACGUG
This 482-nucleotide ribosomal RNA is filed under the name uncultured bacterium. RNAcentral describes it as "partial 16S ribosomal RNA". It matches the Rfam family "Bacterial small subunit ribosomal RNA", at positions 30 to 507 of the family's 1533-position model. The record is from RNAcentral.